UCUGGAAUAGUUCACUUGAUAAGAGCAUGAGAUUCUUAAUCUUAGGGUUGUGGGUUUGAGCCCCACAUUGGGCAAAA
This is a non-coding RNA of Podarcis lilfordi (Lilford's wall lizard), 77 nucleotides long. NCBI's taxonomy places the organism in Eukaryota, Metazoa, Chordata, Lepidosauria, Squamata, Lacertidae. The record is from the annotation of a GenBank genome assembly.